CAGCAGCCGCGGUAAUACGGAGGGGGCUAGCGUUGUUCGGAAUUACUGGGCGUAAAGCGCACGUAGGCGGCUUUGUAAGUCAGAGGUGAAAGCCCGGGGCUCAACCCCGGAAUUGCCUUUGAGACUGCAUCGCUUGAAUCCAGGAGAGGUGAGUGGAAUUCCGAGUGUAGAGGUGAAAUUCGUAGAUAUUCGGAAGAACACCAGUGGCGAAGGCGGCUCACUGGACUGGUAUUGACGCUGAGGUGCGAAAGCGUGGGGAGCAAACAGGAUUAGAUACCCCAGUAGUCCCUGUCUCUUAUAC
This 301-nucleotide ribosomal RNA is filed under the name uncultured bacterium. RNAcentral's name for it is "partial 16S ribosomal RNA". It matches the Rfam family "Bacterial small subunit ribosomal RNA", at positions 509 to 807 of the family's 1533-position model. The record is from RNAcentral.